Molecule: ribosomal RNA, 464 nt
Filed under: uncultured Cryptanaerobacter sp.
Lineage: Bacteria; Bacillati; Bacillota; Clostridia; Eubacteriales; Desulfotomaculaceae
Description: bacterial SSU rRNA
Rfam family: Bacterial small subunit ribosomal RNA
Source: RNAcentral
GCACAAGCGUGGAGCAUGUGGUUUAAUUCGACGCAACGCGAAGAACCUUACCAGGGCUUGACAUCCUCUGACAGCCAUUGAAAGGUGGUUUUCUGGCUUCGGUCAGACAGAGAGACAGGUGGUGCAUGGUUGUCGUCAGCUCGUGUCGUGAGAUGUUGGGUUAAGUCCCGCAACGAGCGCAACCCCUACGUUUAGUUGCUAACGUGUAAAGAUGAGCACUCUAGACGAACUGCCGUUGACAAAACGGAGGAAGGUGGGAUGACGUCAAAUCAUCAUGCCCCUUAUGUCCUGGGCUACACACGUGCUACAAUGGCCGGUACAAAGGGACGCAAAGCCGCGAGGUGGAGCAAAUCCGAUAAAAGCCGGUCUCAGUUCGGAUUGCAGGCUGCAAUUCGCCUGCAUGAAGUCGGAAUCGCUAGUAAUCGCAGGUCAGCCAUACUGCGUUGAAUACGUUCCCGGGGCUU